UACGGAGGAUGCGAGCGUUAUCCGGAUUUAUUGGGUUUAAAGGGUGCGUAGGCGGUAUUUUAAGUUAGUGGUAAAACGUCGGGGCUUCACCUUGAUUGGCCAUUAAAACUGGAGUACUAGAGUACAGACGAGGUAGGCGGAAUAAGUUAAGUAGCGGUGAAAUGCUUAGAUAUAACUUAGAACCCCGAUAGCGAAGGCAGCUUACCAGACUGUUACUGACGCUGAAGCACGAGAGCGUGGGGAGCGAACAGG
Molecule: ribosomal RNA, 252 nt
Filed under: uncultured bacterium
Lineage: Bacteria
Description: partial 16S ribosomal RNA
Rfam family: Bacterial small subunit ribosomal RNA
Source: RNAcentral